RNAcentral lists this ribosomal RNA (301 nucleotides) under uncultured bacterium. RNAcentral describes it as "partial 16S ribosomal RNA". It matches the Rfam family "Bacterial small subunit ribosomal RNA", at positions 509 to 807 of the family's 1533-position model. The record is from RNAcentral.
CAGUCGCCGCGGUAAUACGUGGGGUGCGAGCGUUAAUCGGAAUUACUGGGCGUAAAGCGUGCGCAGGCGGUUCGUUAAGACAGAUGUGAAAUCCCCGGGCUUAACCUGGGAAUGGCAGUGGAUACUGGCUCGCUAGAGUGUGUCAGAGGAUGGUGGAAUUCCCGGUGUAGCGGUGAAAUGCGUAGAGAUCGGGAGGAACACCAGUGGCGAAGGCGGCCAUCUGGGACAACACUGACGCUGAGGCACGAAAGCGUGGGGAGCAAACAGGAUUAGAUACCCCCGUAGUCCCUGUCUCUUAUAC